GUCAACUUCCCCACGAGAGUGGCGCCUUUUAUACAUCAAAUACUAUUGAUAAUAGCAAAAGCCAUUAUAAGAAUGCUUGGCCUCCAAUUUUGUAUGCUUUAUCAUUAUGGUUAAAUGCUGAGGAAUUUAAACAUUAAAAUACUAACAUACCUAAAGAAUUGCAAGAUAAAUUUUACUUAAUAUUUGGAAUUUGUACUGAAGCAAUAUGUAAUCAACAGACUUUGGAAAAUUUAGAAAAUUUUAUUACUUGUCUUAAAUCAUUAUAUACAAUAUUAGAUUCUUCCUUAGCAGGACGAAUGAUGAUGUAAAAUUGUAUUUAAGCAGUGGAAACACUAAAUAUUAUGCACAAAUUACUUUUAACGAAUGAUGGUAUAGAAGUACAGCAAACUAUAUAAUGAAUAUUGUGAAACAAAUAGUAAAAGCUGCUCAAGAAGAUUUAAAAAUAAAAAAUUCAAGUACUUCUAAUGUGCCAUCAAUCGAAAUCCAGAAAUUACUAUAAAUUAAUUCGGAGUACCUGCAAUGCAUUACACUGAACCGGCCAAUUUUCUGCACU
Melanaphis sacchari is the source of this 553-nucleotide long non-coding RNA. RefSeq lists it as uncharacterized. NCBI's taxonomy places the organism in Eukaryota, Metazoa, Arthropoda, Insecta, Hemiptera, Aphididae. The transcript has 4 exons. The record is from RefSeq and is a predicted model, not a curated record.